This 1052-nucleotide ribosomal RNA is filed under the name Nyctotherus ovalis. Its description in RNAcentral is "SSU rRNA". It matches the Rfam family "Bacterial small subunit ribosomal RNA", at positions 505 to 1511 of the family's 1533-position model. Lineage: Eukaryota; Ciliophora; Armophorea; Clevelandellida; Nyctotheridae. The record is from RNAcentral.
GUGCCAGCAGCCGCGGUAAGACGUUGAUCCCGGAAGCGUUACUGGUCAUGAUUAGGCGUAAAGAGUGGCUAGACGGCCGACGUAGUUAUUGGUUAAAACGGGAGGUUUGAUCAUGCUGCCAAUAAUACCGUUGUGCUUGGGGUGCGGUUGAGUUUUUCGGCACAUACACCUUAGCGAUAAAAUGCGAACAGGGUGUCACGGACAUUCCAGUGGCCUCGGCAGAUUACAGCCGCAUAUGCCGACGUCGAACCACUAUCGUAUGGAUUCCGAAGAGGAUUAGGGACCCUUAAGCCCAUACUGUGAAUUUAUGAACAUUGAUCGACAGUAUUAAAAUGUCGAUUCAGCUAACGCGGAAAUGUUUCGCCUGGGUACUACGGUCGCAAGACUAAAAGCUAAUUAAAUUGGCGGGAGCCUGUAUAAAUAAUGGGGCACGUGGCUUAAUUCGACAAUACACGUAAAACCUUACCAGUGAAAGGCGGGUAUCGGCACCGAUGUGCGAUCGGUGUGUGGGUGCCGCCUCUAUUACAGUGCUGCAUGGCUGUCGAAAAUUCAUGCCGUGAGGUUUUGCGUUUGGUCGCAGAAUGAAUGCAAUCUAUGGUAUGUGUGUGUUCAAUUCGUUUGACGGAUUUAUCGCACGUUUUGCGCAAUUUCACAUACUGGGGGGGAUUUGCACGGCCGCUUUCGGUGCAACCCCCCGAGGUCUAGGGCACGUCAAGUCAACAUGGUCUCUAUGUGCUGGGCUGCACAUGUGCCACAAUGGUGAAGACAAUAUGAGGCAAUGGUUUGAUCCAAAGCAAUCAAAGAAAAAUCACCACAGUUCGGAUUGUAUGCUGCAACUCGUAUACAUCAAGUUGUAAUUAUUAGUAAUCGCGGGUAGAGUGCCGCGGUGAAUUUUAUUCUGGCUUUGCACACACCGCCCAUCACGCUGGCGGAGAUGGUGGUAUAUGACGUCUUGUGUCUGUACACUCACGAUGGUCCAUCGGGUUUACAACCUCGGCCAGUAUGACAUUGUUAACAUCAGCUAAGUUGACACAAGGUACCGGUAGGGGAAA